Molecule: long non-coding RNA, 300 nt
Filed under: Ananas comosus (pineapple)
Lineage: Eukaryota; Viridiplantae; Streptophyta; Magnoliopsida; Poales; Bromeliaceae
Description: long non-coding RNA (ACOM_LNC018426)
Source: RNAcentral
AUAUGAGUCCGCCUAUGGUGCUUGUAAAAACACCAAGCACUUGGUGCUUGUAAAAACACCAAGCUUGUGAAUUUUUUACCGUUAAAUUUAUGUCUUUGAUCAUUUUCAUAUGUUAGAUUAUAUUAUUUAACCAACCACCCACUCAACCCAAGGGAGCCCACAUCAUCCUAACCGUACAUCUAUUAAUCCAAGGGCUAAAAAUUUACAAGCACCAAUGACUUGGUACUUUUAAACGCAUAGGAGCUCAAUUCUACGGAAUAUAUUAUUAUUAUCUUUUUAAAAGAUCGAAUUGUCAAAUAU